Molecule: ribosomal RNA, 453 nt
Filed under: Triticum aestivum (bread wheat)
Lineage: Eukaryota; Viridiplantae; Streptophyta; Magnoliopsida; Poales; Poaceae
Description: partial small subunit ribosomal RNA
Source: RNAcentral
AUGCGCCCCCGAAAUUCCAUGUUUUUCGACGCAAGUGGUUUCUUUCUUCCCACAUUGGAUCGGUGGUGCAUCAUAUCUGAUAUGUUUAUAUCUGGUGGUGCUUUGGUUAUGAGUGGCCACACGAGUAAACAAGAAUUGUUGGUGAUAUGUGGAGGCAGAGAACAUAUGGUUGACAGAUCAGCCCCUCCUAUGUCUCUCUCUCUCUGCUUUCAAGUUUCAACAGAAGAGACGGGAAAGAGAGAUGGAUGGAGGGGUAGAACAACUUCUCAAACCUCCCUCUCUUUUAAAAAGCUUGUGAGCCUUUCUCCUCUCUAUUAUUCCUUUUCUGAAACGAUUUUUCUCUCUCUAUUCAAUGCCCCUUUUGGUCGAGUACUUGCCGUCUCAGAGGAGCGCGGCCAAUGGGGGACGAAAGGUGGUUGCAAGGAGUGGGGCAGGAGGAGACAGAAACGCUGA